GCGCACUAUUAGCUUGUUGGUAGGGUAAAAGCCUACCAAGGCGAUGAUGGUUAUCCGGCCUGAGAGGGUGAUCGGACACAUUGGGACUGAGAUAUGGCCCUGACUCCUACGGGAGGCAGCAGUGGGGAAUUUUGCGCAAUGGACGAAAGUCUGACGCAGCAACGCCGCGUGGAGGAAGAAGCUCCUUUGGAGUGUAAACUUCUGUUAAUUAGGAAGAAAAGAUAGUAGUUAAUACCUAUUAUUUAUGACGUUACUAGUAAAGAAAGCACCGGCUAAUCUCGUGCCAGCAGCCGCGGUAAUACGAGAGGUGCAAGCGUUAUUCGGAAUUAUUGGGCGUAAAGGGCGCGUAGGCGGCUUUAUAAGUUUCUUGUUUAAGACUUCGGCCUAACUGAAGAAAAGCAAGGAAUACUGUAUAGCUAGAGUAUAAUAGAGAGAAGUGGAAUUUUCGGAGUAGCGGUUAAAUGCGUAGAUCUCGAAAGGAACGCCAAUGGCGAAGGCAGCUUCUUGGGUUAUUACUGACGCUGAGGCGCGAAGGCAUGGGGAGCAAACAGGAUUAGAUACCCUGGUAGUCCAUGCAGUAAACGAUGAUCACUAGGCGUAUAUAAUUUUAUUGUAUGUGCCGCAGCUAACGCGAUAAGUGAUCCGCCUGGGGAGUACG
This 658-nucleotide ribosomal RNA is filed under the name uncultured bacterium. RNAcentral describes it as "bacterial SSU rRNA". It matches the Rfam family "Bacterial small subunit ribosomal RNA", at positions 233 to 884 of the family's 1533-position model. The record is from RNAcentral.